This 823-nucleotide ribosomal RNA is filed under the name uncultured microorganism. Its description in RNAcentral is "bacterial SSU rRNA". It matches the Rfam family "Bacterial small subunit ribosomal RNA", at positions 61 to 892 of the family's 1533-position model. The record is from RNAcentral.
GUCGAGCGAGAAAGUUCCUUCGGGAACUGGACAGCGGCGAAAGGGAGAGUAACGCGUAGAUAUCUACCUCGAGGACCGGGAUAGCGGCGGGAAACUGCCGGUAAUACCGGAUAACAUCUCAGGAUCAAAGGUGUGAUUCCGCCUCGAGAUGAGUCUGCGUCCUAUUAAUGCUUGUUGGUGAGGUAAUGGCUCACCAAGGCGAAGAUGGGUACCGGGUGUGAGAGCAUGGCCCGGCUCACUGGGACUGAGACACUGCCCAGACACCUACGGGUGGCUGCAGUCGAGAAUCUUCGGCAAUGGGCGAAAGCCUGACCGAGCGACGCCGCGUGCGGGAUGAAGGCCCUCGGGUUGUAAACCGCUGUCAGUAGGGAGCAAAUCUCUUGGGGUUAUCCCCUUGAGUUGAGCGAUCUUCAGAGGAAGUACGGGCUAAGUUCGUGCCAGCAGCCGCGGUAAGACGAACCGUACGAACGUUAUUCGGAAUCACUGGGCUUAAAGAGUCCGUAGGCGGCCGUGUAGGUGGGAUGUGAAAGCCCUCGUCUCAACCGAGGAAUUGCGUUCCAAACCACAUGGCUUGAGGAGGAUAGAGGUGAGCGGAACUGAUGGUGGAGCGGUGAAAUGCGUUGAUAUCAUCAGGAACACCAGAGGCGAAGGCGGCUCACUGGGUCCUUUCUGACGCUGAGGGACGAAAGCUAGGGGAGCAAACGGGAUUAGAUACCCCGGUAGUCCUAGCUGUAAACGAUGAGCACUAGAUCGAGGGGACUUCCACAUCUUCUCGGUCGUAGCGAAAGUGUUAAGUGCUCCGCCUGGGGAGUAUGGUCGCAAG